RNAcentral lists this ribosomal RNA (428 nucleotides) under uncultured bacterium. RNAcentral's name for it is "bacterial SSU rRNA". It matches the Rfam family "Bacterial small subunit ribosomal RNA", at positions 34 to 507 of the family's 1533-position model. The record is from RNAcentral.
CGCUGGCGGCAGGCCUAACACAUGCAAGUCGAGCGCACCCUUCGGGGCGAGCGGCGGACGGGUUAGUAACGCGUGGGAACGUACCCUUUUCUAUGGAAUAGCCUCGGGAAACUGAGAGUAAUACCAUAUAAGCCCUUCGGGGGAAAGAUUUAUCGGGAAAGGAUCGGCCCGCGUUAGAUUAGAUAGUUGGUGGGGUAAUGGCCUACCAAGUCUACGAUCUAUAGCUGGUUUUAGAGGAUGAUCAGCAACACUGGGACUGAGACACGGCCCAGACUCCUACGGGAGGCAGCAGUGGGGAAUCUUAGACAAUGGGCGCAAGCCUGAUCUAGCCAUGCCGCGUGUGUGAUGAAGGUCUUAGGAUCGUAAAGCACUUUCGCCAGGGAUGAUAAUGACAGUACCUGGUAAAGAAACCCCGGCCUAACUCCGUG